GAUUUCUGGUUCGGCGCAAUAGGCCCGCCUCGGUUCACGAGGUUGUGUGCCGUUUGCGCCAUCCAUCCUUCGAGAAAACACUUCUGCCCUUCACUGGGUUGGAUGUGCUAUCUCGAUCUUUUACUUUGAAAAAAUUAGAGUGUUUAAAGCAGGCUUACGCUGUGAAUACAUUAGCAUGGAAUAAUAAUUUAGGACUUCGGUCUCUAUUUUGUUGGUUUCUAGAGCUGAAGUAAUGAUUGAUAGGGAUAGUUGGGGGUGCUAGUAUUCAUCGGCCAGAGGUGAAAUUCUUGGAUUCGAUGAAGACUAACUUAUGCGAAAGCAUU
RNAcentral lists this ribosomal RNA (323 nucleotides) under Cercomonadidae sp. RNAcentral's name for it is "SSU rRNA". The stretch from base 61 to 323 matches the Rfam family "Eukaryotic small subunit ribosomal RNA", at positions 692 to 955 of the family's 1831-position model. Lineage: Eukaryota; Cercozoa; Cercomonadida; Cercomonadidae. The record is from RNAcentral.